AAGAGUUUAUCCUAACCUUAAUUUAGGGUUCUAUUCCGGAGAGGGAGCCUGAGAAACGUAAGUUCCCCAAGUGCCGUUCGUUAUUCCAUAGGCUAACAGUUGUUAUAGGGCUACCACAUCCAAGGAAGGCAGCAGGCGCCGCAAAUUACCCAAUCCUGAUACAGGGAGGUAGUGACAAUAAAUACUGAUACAGGGCUCUUUUGGGUCUUGUAAUUGGAAUGAGUACAAUUUAAAUCCCUUAACGAGGAACAAUUGGAGGGCAAGUCUGGUGCCAGCAGCCGCGGUAAUUCCAGCUCCAAUAGCGUAUAUUAAAGUUGUUGCAGUUAAAAAGCUCGUAGUUGAACCUUGGGCCUGGCUGGCCGGUCCGGCUCACCGCGUGCACUGGUCCGGCCGGGCCUUUCCUCCUGGGGAGCCGCAUGCCCUUCACUGGGUGUGUCGGGGAACAGGGCUUUUACUUUGAAACAAUUAGGAGUGUUCAAAGCAGGCUAUGCUCGAAUACAUUAGCAUGGAUAUAGA
This 516-nucleotide ribosomal RNA is filed under the name uncultured fungus. RNAcentral's name for it is "bacterial SSU rRNA". It matches the Rfam family "Eukaryotic small subunit ribosomal RNA", at positions 347 to 819 of the family's 1831-position model. Lineage: Eukaryota; Fungi. The record is from RNAcentral.